Molecule: transfer RNA, 62 nt
Filed under: Aspidiphorus orbiculatus
Lineage: Eukaryota; Metazoa; Arthropoda; Insecta; Coleoptera; Sphindidae
Description: tRNA-Glu
Source: RNAcentral
AUUUAUAUAGUUUAAGCAAAACUUUAUAUUUUCAAUAUAAAAAUAGAAAUCUCUUAUAAAUU